UACGUAGGGUGCGAGCGUUGUCCGGAAUUACUGGGCGUAAAGAGCUCGUAGGUGGUUUGUCGCGUUGUUCGUGAAAACUCACAGCUCAACUGUGGGCGUGCGGGCGAUACGGGCAGACUGGAGUACUGCAGGGGAGACUGGAAUUCCUGGUGUAGCGGUGGAAUGCGCAGAUAUCAGGAGGAACACCGGUGGCGAAGGCGGUUCUCUGGGCAUUACCUGACGCUGAGGAGCGAAAGUGUGGGGAGCGAACGGG
This 253-nucleotide ribosomal RNA is filed under the name uncultured bacterium. RNAcentral describes it as "partial 16S ribosomal RNA". It matches the Rfam family "Bacterial small subunit ribosomal RNA", at positions 524 to 776 of the family's 1533-position model. The record is from RNAcentral.